This 253-nucleotide ribosomal RNA is filed under the name uncultured bacterium. RNAcentral describes it as "partial 16S ribosomal RNA". It matches the Rfam family "Bacterial small subunit ribosomal RNA", at positions 524 to 776 of the family's 1533-position model. The record is from RNAcentral.
UACGGGGGGGGCAAGCGUUGUCCGGAAUUAUUGGGCGUAAAGAGCGUGUAGGCGGUCCGGUAAGUCAGCUGUGAAAGUCAAGGGCUCAACCCUUGAAUGCCGGUUGAUACUGUCGGGCUAGAGUCCGGAAGAGGCGAGUGGAAUUCCCGGUGUAGCGGUGAAAUGCGCAGAUAUCGGGAGGAACACCAAUGGCGAAGGCAGCUCGCUGGGACGGUACUGACGCUGAGACGCGAAAGCGUGGGGAGCAAACAGG